GCGGUGAUGGUGGCGGAGGUGAGGGUGGAGAUGUGGUGGUGAUGGUGACGAGGCAGUGAUGGUGACAAAAGGGUGGUGCAGACACCCUGACAAGUUCUACUGUUCUACCUUGUUGGGUGGCACAAACAAGACCACAAAGAAAAUGAGUGUUCAUUUUAUAGGUGGAUCUAAUGGUUAUAAAAAUUGAUAUAAAGGUAAUAGAGCAUAUGUUAAAUUGAUA
This 220-nucleotide long non-coding RNA is filed under the name Selaginella moellendorffii. RNAcentral describes it as "long non-coding RNA (SMOE_LNC001338)". Lineage: Eukaryota; Viridiplantae; Streptophyta; Lycopodiopsida; Selaginellales; Selaginellaceae. The record is from RNAcentral.